GGCAGAUGAUGUCUGUUUUCACAAUGGUCUUCAGAAGCCCACUAUGGGCACUGCUGAAUGCCACUUGGUAAAACCGAUGCUGGAAG
RNAcentral lists this small nucleolar RNA (86 nucleotides) under Propithecus coquereli (Coquerel's sifaka). RNAcentral describes it as "Small nucleolar RNA SNORD35 (ENSPCOG00000007733.1)". It matches the Rfam family "Small nucleolar RNA SNORD35". Rfam says of the family: U35 is a C/D box snoRNA located in intron 6 of ribosomal protein L13A and intron 3 of ribosomal protein S11 in humans and at homologous positions in mouse and chicken ribosomal protein genes. U35 guides the methylation of 2'-O-ribose sites in 28S rRNA. Lineage: Eukaryota; Metazoa; Chordata; Mammalia; Primates; Indriidae. The record is from Rfam by way of RNAcentral.